This is an unclassified non-coding RNA of Macaca fascicularis (crab-eating macaque), 161 nucleotides long. It matches the Rfam family "Metazoan signal recognition particle RNA". From Rfam's summary of the family: The signal recognition particle (SRP) is a universally conserved ribonucleoprotein. It is involved in the co-translational targeting of proteins to membranes. NCBI's taxonomy places the organism in Eukaryota, Metazoa, Chordata, Mammalia, Primates, Cercopithecidae. The record is from Ensembl.
GCUGGGUGUGGUGGCAGCACCUGUAGUCCCUGCUGCUUGGGAGGCUGAGGCAGGAGGAUCACUUGAGCCCGGGAGUUCAAGGGUGCAGUGGGUUCUGAUUGCACCACUGAACUAUGAUGGUACCACUCUAGCCUGGGUGACAGAGCGGGACCCUGUCUCUU